This 470-nucleotide long non-coding RNA is filed under the name Ananas comosus (pineapple). RNAcentral's name for it is "long non-coding RNA (ACOM_LNC010565)". The record is from RNAcentral. Lineage: Eukaryota; Viridiplantae; Streptophyta; Magnoliopsida; Poales; Bromeliaceae.
GUUGAAGAUUAAGAUACUAAUCAAAGAUUAGUAUGAUUUUGCGAGAUCUCAUGUAGGUCUAUAUAUAAAAUAAAAUAGGGCUAAAAUUUUUAAUCCGGCUAUAGCAUUUAGGACAGUGACUAGAUUCAAGAGGUUUAGAAAGUUAAGCGUGCUAAAACUAGAGUAACCCUAGAAUAGGUGAUUCCCCAAAAAGUUGGGGUAUCAUAGUAGGUAUCAGAAUCAAUUAACAGCCGGAAGUGUGAGAUGAAUCUUGACUGAAUCAAGUUAUACAGUGAGGAGAGUAAGUCUCUCGUAUUGAUGACUGUGAUGGAUAGAACGCGACUUUCCCAUAAGGUCGGUUAAGGUUAGCAAGACGAAUCUCACAUCAUUUGAUACUUGUGAGUCUAAACCUGACGUUGACGUAGGAUGGGUGAUCCUCUGAAAAGUAGGGCGUCAUAUAUUUCAAGUAAUUUGGAUUAAAAUAAGGAGGU